GGGGUUGUGGCUCAAAGGUAGCGAGCUCACCUAGCACGUGGGAGGUGCUGGGUUCAAUUCCCAGCACCACA
RNAcentral lists this transfer RNA (71 nucleotides) under Marmota monax (woodchuck). RNAcentral's name for it is "tRNA.Ala". The record is from RNAcentral. Lineage: Eukaryota; Metazoa; Chordata; Mammalia; Rodentia; Sciuridae.